AUGCAACACAUUUACACUGGGCUGCAGACACCAAGUCAGGAUAUCUACUCUGACAUCCCAGCAGGGGUGAAACCGCCUGGAAGACACACAGACCAGGCAAGCGCCAUGGAUUCGCAUGCAACAGUAGCUGAAGGGUUUGUUAUCGUUACUCACAAGUACCCUCUUAAAGGUGCUGGCCAGGUUGUGCCAGGAACAGUGGCAAGCCAGCUGCCAUGGCCGCUGCAGACAUUUCUACGAGGACAGCCCAAAGCUUUGGGGGUCGUGCAAAUACUAAUUGGGAUUGUGAGUCUGCUGUUUGGUCUAGUCCUGGUGAGUGCGUACACGUUUGCAGGAAUCAUUGGAUUACCUUUCUGGACUGGUGUAUGGGUAAGGAAAAUAAGCAAGACCUUCUUUUCUUCAUGGAUUUUACCCCAGACUUUCUUCACAAAUUGAAAUGUCCAAUUCGAAUGUCACAGAGUAUGCUCCAAACAGAGCAGAGAAAUAAAACGUCCCUUACAUCCAGAUCAGAUUCCAAU
Long non-coding RNA from Polyodon spathula (Mississippi paddlefish), 515 nucleotides. RefSeq lists it as uncharacterized. NCBI's taxonomy places the organism in Eukaryota, Metazoa, Chordata, Actinopteri, Acipenseriformes, Polyodontidae. The record is from RefSeq and is a predicted model, not a curated record. The transcript has 3 exons.